RNAcentral lists this ribosomal RNA (254 nucleotides) under uncultured bacterium. RNAcentral's name for it is "partial 16S ribosomal RNA". It matches the Rfam family "Bacterial small subunit ribosomal RNA", at positions 524 to 776 of the family's 1533-position model. The record is from RNAcentral.
UACGGGGGGGGCAAGCGUUGUUCGGAAUUACUGGGCGUAAAGGGCGCGUAGGCGGCCUGCUAAGUCGGACGUGAAAUCCCUCGGCUCAACCGGGGAACUGCGUCCGAUACUGGCGAGGCUUGAAUCCGGGAGAGGGAUGUGGAAUUCCAGGUGUAGCGGUGAAAUACGUAGAUAUCUGGAGGAACACCAGUGGCGAAGGCGGCAUCCUGGACCGGCAUUGACGCUGAGGCGCGAAAGCUAGGGUAGCAAACGGG